GACGAACGCUGGCGGCGUGCCUAAUACAUGCAAGUCGAGCGGAAUGAUGAAGAAGCUUGCUUCUUCUGAUUUUAGCGGCGGACGGGUGAGUAACACGUGGGCAACCUACCUUGUAGAUUGGGAUAACUCCGGGAAACCGGGGCUAAUACCGAAUAAUCCAUUUUGCUUCAUGGCGAGAUGUUAAAAGGCGGCUUCGGCUGUCACUACGAGAUGGGCCCGCGGCGCAUUAGCUAGUUGGUAGGGUAAUGGCCUACCAAGACGACGAUGCGUAGCCGACCUGAGAGGGUGAUCGGCCACACUGGGACUGAGACACGGCCCAGACUCCUACGGGAGGCAGCAGUAGGGAAUCUUCCACAAUGGACGAAAGUCUGAUGGAGCAACGCCGCGUGAGUGAAGAAGGUUUUCGGAUCGUAAAACUCUGUUGUAAGGGAAGAACACGUACGAGAGUAACUGCUCGUACCUUGACGGUACCUUAUUAGAAAGCCACGGCUAACUACGUG
Molecule: ribosomal RNA, 500 nt
Filed under: uncultured bacterium
Lineage: Bacteria
Description: bacterial SSU rRNA
Rfam family: Bacterial small subunit ribosomal RNA
Source: RNAcentral